GAGUUUGAUCCUGGCUCAGAUUGAACGCUGGCGGCAUGCCUUACACAUGCAAGUCGAACGGCAGCAUGAUCUAGCUUGCUAGAUUGAUGGCGAGUGGCGAACGGGUGAGUAAUACAUCGGAACGUGCCCUGUAGUGGGGGAUAACUAGUCGAAAGAUUAGCUAAUACCGCAUACGACCUGAGGGUGAAAGUGGGGGACCGCAAGGCCUCAUGCUAUAGGAGCGGCCGAUGUCUGAUUAGCUAGUUGGUGGGGUAAAGGGCCCGACCAAGGCGACGAUCAGUAGCUGGUCUGAGAGGACGAUCAGCCACACUGGGACUGAGACACGGCCCAGACUCCUACGGGAGGCAGCAGUGGGGAAUUUUGGACAAUGGGCGAAAGCCUGAUCCAGCAAUGCCGCGUGUGUGAAGAAGGCCUCGG
This 417-nucleotide ribosomal RNA is filed under the name uncultured microorganism. RNAcentral's name for it is "bacterial SSU rRNA". It matches the Rfam family "Bacterial small subunit ribosomal RNA", at positions 9 to 420 of the family's 1533-position model. The record is from RNAcentral.